This 200-nucleotide ribosomal RNA is filed under the name uncultured bacterium. Its description in RNAcentral is "partial 16S ribosomal RNA". It matches the Rfam family "Bacterial small subunit ribosomal RNA", at positions 29 to 259 of the family's 1533-position model. The record is from RNAcentral.
AACGAACGCUGGCGGCAGGCUUAACACAUGCAAGUCGAACGCCCGCAAGGGGAGUGGCAGACGGGUGAGUAACGCGUGGGAAUCUACCCAGUUCUACGGAACAACACAGGGAAACUUGUGCUAAUACCGUAUACGCCCUACGGGGGAAAGAUUUAUCGGAAUUGGAUGAGCCCGCGUAAGAUUAGCUAGUUGGUGGGUAA